GACGAACGCUGGCGGCGUGCUUAACACAUGCAAGUCGAACGGAAAGGCCCUGCUUUUGUGGGGUGCUCGAGUGGCGAACGGGUGAGUAACACGUGAGUAACCUGCCCUUGACUUUGGGAUAACUUCAGGAAACUGGGGCUAAUACCGGAUAGGAUCUCCUGCUCCAUGGUGGGGGUUGGAAAGUUUCGGCUGUUGUGGAUGGACUCGCGGCUUAUCAGCUUGUUGGUGGGGGAGUGGCUUACCAAGGCUUUGACGGGUAGCCGGCCUGAGAGGGUGAACGGGCACAUGGGGACUGAGGUACGGCCCAGACGCCUACGGGAGACAGCAGUGGGGAAUAUUGCACAAUGAGCGCAAGCCUGAGGCAGAAACGCCGGGGGCGGGAUGACGGCCUUCGGGUUAUAAACCGCUGUCGCCUGUGACGAAGCGGGAGUGACGGUAAUGGGUAAAGAAGCACCGGCUAACUACGUG
Molecule: ribosomal RNA, 468 nt
Filed under: uncultured bacterium
Lineage: Bacteria
Description: partial 16S ribosomal RNA
Rfam family: Bacterial small subunit ribosomal RNA
Source: RNAcentral